RNAcentral lists this ribosomal RNA (338 nucleotides) under uncultured bacterium. RNAcentral's name for it is "bacterial SSU rRNA". It matches the Rfam family "Bacterial small subunit ribosomal RNA", at positions 568 to 899 of the family's 1533-position model. The record is from RNAcentral.
UGCGUAGGCGGUUUGGUAAGUCUUCUGUGAAAUCUAUGGGCUCAACUCAUAGACUGCAUGAGAAACUGCCGGGCUGGAGUGUGGGAGAGGUGAGUGGAAUUCCUGGUGUAGCGGUGAAAUGCGUAGAUAUCAGGAGGAACACCUGUGGCGAAAGCGGCUCACUGGACCAUAACUGACGCUGAUGCACGAAAGCUAGAGGAGCAAACAGGAUUAGAUACCCUGGUAGUCCUAGCCCUAAACCAUGAUUGCUUGGUGUGACCGGGUACCCAAUCCCGCCGUGCCGUAGCUAACGCGUUAAGCAACUCCGCCGUGGGGAGUACGGUCGACAAGGCUAGAAA